CACUGGACAUUUUGUUUGGUGUUAUUGGCUUGACUUUAAAAUCCCUUGUGAACUUCCAUUAAUCUUGGAGGACACAAUCUAAUUGGUCAUUUGCCCCAUAAUUAAAUAAAGUACCUACAAGGAACCACAAUUAAGGAGCAGCUGAUUAGAAGUUCACGAGAGUUUUUAGUAUCAUUAUAGAUAUAUAUCACGUUUUAACACUCUUCACAGUGAGAUCAUCUUGUAGGAAAUUUGCUAAAGCAUUAUUCCACUGUGACUUGUACCCCUGAUGAAGUCCAUAAUGGACGAAACGCGUUGGGUUUUAUGAGAUAUAUAUAGCAUACACUGUUUCUGCAUAAAUGUGUAUUGUGCUUAUGGAACAACGUGUAUGACAAAUUUUAACGUGUAUUAAAAAUAAUCUUUCUAUCAUUCCGGUUAUGCUGGUUGGAUUUUACUUUGAGUAAUUAUUUCAAUUUUAA
Molecule: long non-coding RNA, 458 nt
Organism: Pseudophryne corroboree (corroboree frog)
Lineage: Eukaryota; Metazoa; Chordata; Amphibia; Anura; Myobatrachidae
Exons: 5
Source: RefSeq, a predicted model, not a curated record